RNAcentral lists this ribosomal RNA (899 nucleotides) under uncultured cyanobacterium. RNAcentral's name for it is "bacterial SSU rRNA". It matches the Rfam family "Bacterial small subunit ribosomal RNA", at positions 100 to 1027 of the family's 1533-position model. The record is from RNAcentral. Lineage: Bacteria; Bacillati; Cyanobacteriota.
GGACGGGUGAGUAACGCGUGAGAAUCUGCCCUGAGGAGGGGGAUAACUGCUGGAAGCGGCCGCUAAUGCCCCAUAUGCCGCCAGGUGAAAUGAAUUUCGCCUGAUGAUGACCUCGCGUCUGAGUAUCUAGUUGGUGGGGUAAGGGCCUACGAGGGCGACUGAUCAGUAACUGGUCGGAGAGGAUGAUCAGCCACACUGGGACUGAUACACGGCCCAAACUCCGACUGGAGGCAGCGAGGGGGAAUUUUCCGCAGUGGGGUAAAGCCGGACGGAUCAACCCCGCCGGGGGGAUGAAGGCCUCGGGGCUGUAAGCCUCUGUUCGCAAGGAAGAAGACCUGACGGGACUUGAGGAAUAAGCCACAGACUAGUUCCGUGCCAGUCAGCCGCGGUAAUACUUGAGUGGCAAGCGUUAUCCGAAUUAUUGAGCGUAAAGCGUCCGCAGGCGGUCCUGUAAGUCUGUCGUUUGAAGCGUGGAGCUUAAGUCCAUUUAAGCGAUGGAAACUACAGGGCUUGAUUGUGGUACGUGCAGAGGGAAUUCGCGGUGUAGCGAUGAAAUGCUUAGAUAUCGGUGAAGAACACCACGUGGCGAAGGCUCUCUGCUGGGCCAUAACUGACGCUCAUGGACGAAAGCCAGGGGAGCGAAAGGGAUUAGAUACCCCUGUAGUCCUGGCCGUAAACGAUGAACACUAGGUGUCGGGGGAAUCGACCCCCUCGGUGUCGUAGCCAACGCGUUAAGUGUUCCGCCUGGGGAGUACGCACGCAAGUGUGAAACUCAAAGGAAUUGACGGGGGCCCGCACAAGCGGUGGAGUAUGUGGUUUAAUUCGAUGCAACGCGAAAAACCUUACCAGGGUUUGACAUCCUGCGAAACCCCCGGAAACGGGGGGGUGCCUUCGGGAAC